GCGGGGGUUGCCGAGUUUGGAAAAGGCGCUAGGUUGAGGGCCUAGUCCCGUAGGGGUCCGUGGGUUCAAAUCCCAUCCCCCGCA
RNAcentral lists this transfer RNA (84 nucleotides) under Candidatus Methanofastidiosia archaeon. RNAcentral's name for it is "Candidatus Methanofastidiosa archaeon tRNA". It matches the Rfam family "tRNA". From Rfam's summary of the family: Transfer RNA (tRNA) molecules are approximately 80 nucleotides in length. The record is from Rfam by way of RNAcentral. Lineage: Archaea; Methanobacteriati; Methanobacteriota; Candidatus Methanofastidiosia.